This 59-nucleotide ribosomal RNA is filed under the name Inocybe phaeocomis. Its description in RNAcentral is "partial 5.8S ribosomal RNA". It matches the Rfam family "5.8S ribosomal RNA", at positions 100 to 154 of the family's 154-position model. Rfam says of the family: 5.8S ribosomal RNA (5.8S rRNA) is a component of the large subunit of the eukaryotic ribosome. It is transcribed by RNA polymerase I as part of the 45S precursor that also contains 18S and 28S rRNA. Functionally, it is thought that 5.8S rRNA may be involved in ribosome translocation. Lineage: Eukaryota; Fungi; Basidiomycota; Agaricomycetes; Agaricales; Inocybaceae. The record is from RNAcentral.
UUGAACGCACCUUGCGCUCCUUGGUAUUCCGAGGAGCAUGCCUGUUUGAGUGUCAUUUG